GCCGGGCAUGGGGACACAUGCCUGUAGUCCCAGCUACUCGGGAGGCUGAGGUGGGAGGAUCUCUUGAGCCCAGGAGUUCAAGGCUGCAGUGAGCCAUGAUCACACCUCUGCACUCCAGCCUGGGCGACACAGUGGGACCCUGUCUCUG
Non-coding RNA from Papio anubis (olive baboon), 148 nucleotides. The record is from Rfam. Lineage: Eukaryota; Metazoa; Chordata; Mammalia; Primates; Cercopithecidae.